RNAcentral lists this ribosomal RNA (1450 nucleotides) under uncultured organism. Its description in RNAcentral is "SSU rRNA". It matches the Rfam family "Bacterial small subunit ribosomal RNA". The record is from RNAcentral.
UGAACGCUAGCUACAGGCUUAACACAUGCAAGUCGAGGGGCAUCAGGAAGAAAGCUUGCUUUCUUUGCUGGCGACCGGCGCACGGGUGAGUAACACGUAUCCAACCUGCCCUUUACUCGGGGAUAGCCUUUCGAAAGAAAGAUUAAUACCCGAUGGCAUAAUGAUUCCGCAUGGUUUCAUUAUUAAAGGAUUCCGGUAAAGGAUGGGGAUGCGUUCCAUUAGGUUGUUGGUGAGGUAACGGCUCACCAAGCCUUCGAUGGAUAGGGGUUCUGAGAGGAAGGUCCCCCACAUUGGAACUGAGACACGGUCCAAACUCCUACGGGAGGCAGCAGUGAGGAAUAUUGGUCAAUGGGCGCUAGCCUGAACCAGCCAAGUAGCGUGAAGGAUGAAGGCUCUAUGGGUCGUAAACUUCUUUUAUAUAAGAAUAAAGUGCAGUAUGUAUACUGUUUUGUAUGUAUUAUAUGAAUAAGGAUCGGCUAACUCCGUGCCAGCAGCCGCGGUAAUACGGAGGAUCCGAGCGUUAUCCGGAUUUAUUGGGUUUAAAGGGAGCGUAGGUGGACUGGUAAGUCAGCUGUGAAAGUUUGCGGCUCAACCGUAAAAUUGCAGUUGAUACCUGUCAGUCUUGAGUACAGUAAAGGUGGGCGGAAUUCGUGGUGUAGCGGUGAAAUGCUUAAAUAUCACGAAAAACUCCGAUUGCGAAGGGCAGCUCACCUGGACUGCAACUGACACUGAUGCUCGAAAGUGUGGGUAUCAAACAGGAUUAGAUACCCUGGUAGUCCACACAGUAAACGAUGAAUACUCGCUGUUUGCGAUAUACAGUAAGCGGCCAAGCGAAAGCAUUAAGUAUUCCACCUGGGGAGUACGCCGGCAACGGUGAAACUCAAAGGAAUUGACGGGGGCCCGCACAAGCGGAGGAACAUGUGGUUUAAUUCGAUGAUACGCGAGGAACCUUACCCGGGCUUAAAUUGCAGUGGAAUGAUGUGGAAACAUGUCAGUGAGCAAUCACCGCUGUGAAGGUGCUGCAUGGUUGUCGUCAGCUCGUGCCGUGAGGUGUCGGCUUAAGUGCCAUAACGAGCGCAACCCUUAUCUUUAGUUACUAACAGGUUAUGCUGAGGACUCUAGAGAGACUGCCGUCGUAAGAUGUGAGGAAGGUGGGGAUGACGUCAAAUCAGCACGGCCCUUACGUCCGGGGCUACACACGUGUUACAAUGGGGGGUACAGAAGGCAGCUAGCGGGUGACCGUAUGCUAAUCCCAAAAGCCUCUCUCAGUUCGGAUCGAAGUCUGCAACCCGACUUCGUGAAGCUGGAUUCGCUAGUAAUCGCGCAUCAGCCACGGCGCGGUGAAUACGUUCCCGGGCCUUGUACACACCGCCCGUCAAGCCAUGGGAGCCGGGGGUACCUGAAGUACGUAACCGCAAGGAUCGUCCUAGGGUAAAACUGGUGACUGGGG